AGAGUUUGAUCCUGGCUCAGGAUGAACGCUAGCGACAGGCCUAACACAUGCAAGUCGAGGGGUAACAGGGAAGCUUGCUUCCGCUGACGACCGGCGCACGGGUGAGUAACGCGUAUGCAACCUACCUGUAACAGGGGGAUAGCUCCCUGAAAGGGGAAUUAACACCGCAUAAGACUACGGCAUCACAUGGUGCAGUGGUAAAAUAUUUAUAGGUUACAGAUGGGCAUGCGUGACAUUAGCUAGUUGGCGGGGUAACGGCCCACCAAGGCUACGAUGUCUAGGGGUUCUGAGAGGAAGGUCCCCCACACUGGUACUGAGACACGGACCAGACUCCUACGGGAGGCAGCAGUGAGGAAUAUUGGUCAAUGGGCGCAAGCCUGAACCAGCCAU
RNAcentral lists this ribosomal RNA (390 nucleotides) under uncultured Alkalitalea sp. RNAcentral describes it as "bacterial SSU rRNA". It matches the Rfam family "Bacterial small subunit ribosomal RNA", at positions 8 to 395 of the family's 1533-position model. The record is from RNAcentral. Lineage: Bacteria; Pseudomonadati; Bacteroidota; Bacteroidia; Marinilabiliales; Marinilabiliaceae.